Molecule: ribosomal RNA, 207 nt
Filed under: uncultured bacterium
Lineage: Bacteria
Description: partial 16S ribosomal RNA
Rfam family: Bacterial small subunit ribosomal RNA
Source: RNAcentral
GGCGUAGGCGGAGAUGUAAGCCAGACGUGAAAGCCCGGGGCUCAGCCCCGGAAUAGCAUUUGGAACUACAUUUCUUGAGGAUAGGCGGAGAAAACGGAAUUCUGCAUGUAGCGGUGAAAUGCGUAGAUAUGCAGAAGAACACCGGUGGCGAAGGCGGUUUUCUAGCUUAUUCCUGACGCUGAGGCCCGAAAGCUAGGGGAGCGAACA